RNAcentral lists this long non-coding RNA (386 nucleotides) under Columba livia (rock pigeon). RNAcentral's name for it is "partial uncharacterized LOC106145781". The record is from RNAcentral. Lineage: Eukaryota; Metazoa; Chordata; Aves; Columbiformes; Columbidae.
CAGAGGCAACCAGCAGCUAAAUAAUGCCUUUACAGUCAGUUGCAUAGUUUCAGCUGAAAAAUGGGAGAACUCCACACUAACAUGCAGUAUUCUAAGUGAGCAAUGGAGCGGGGCUGUACUUAACCUGAAUUGUCAAGGAAAAUUAACCCUCUUCAUUGGAGCCUUUCCUAGAAGAAUUGAGCCCUAAAAGGUUUUAAAGCAGGUGGCGCUAUUGACCGUGCAGUGGCGGCAGCACCUCCACGUCCUGGCUGGGGAGUCCCCAGCGCGCAGCAGGUGACACCCCCACUGGUGCUGGUCACACGCAUCGUGCUCUCUCUUCGACUUACCCGCCACGGUCGCUGUCUGAGUAGUUCUUGAAUGUCUUCAGACUGGUAGUACAACAAAGC